RNAcentral lists this long non-coding RNA (1739 nucleotides) under Brassica napus (rape). RNAcentral's name for it is "long non-coding RNA (BNAP_LNC003515)". The record is from RNAcentral. Lineage: Eukaryota; Viridiplantae; Streptophyta; Magnoliopsida; Brassicales; Brassicaceae.
CACCGAUCAAGCGACGCAAGAAGAAGUCAAAGGUGUGGGAACACUUCACCAUCGGUGUUACAGAGCCUGGUUGCAGAAGGGCUUUCUGCAAGGGCUGUAACCAGAGCUUUGCUUACAGCAGCGGCACCAAAGUGGCUGGGACCAGCCACCUCAAGCGUCACAUCGACAAAGGGACUUGCCCUGCGCUUCUUCAUCAUACCCAUGACAACAAUGACAACGACAACAGCCAACCGAUGAUGACGACUCCCAAGAGUGACCACACACCGAGAAGGCGUUACCGGACCCAGAACACUUACGUUCCGUUUGAUCAGGACAAGUGUCGCCACGAGAUUGCUAAGAUGAUCAUCAUGCAUGACUACCCUCUUCAAAAGUAAUGGUUGAAAAAUAUCUAUACAUAUGUCAUUUUAAAAUAACACCCAACUUCUAUAUAUAGUCAAUACAUAUGUCCAUGUUAUAUUCUAGACUAAAUAUUUUCUUACAGCGUCUAGAACUAUCGAGCGAUCGUCGACAUUAUUAUUUAAAGUUUUAAACGGUCUAAUCAAUUAUAAAUUAUAGUAAUAUAUUCAAUAUAUACAAUGUUUAUAUUAAAUAUUAUUAUCUAUUAAUGAUAAAAUUCUUAUUAUUUUAUCUUCAUAAGAAUCUAUGAUAUAAUAUAUUAAUUAUUAUUAUUUUUGAUCAAUAAAUUAUAAAUUAUAUAUUAUUAAAUAUUAAUUAUUUAGGUUGUUUAGAAGAUAAUUGCCACGGUUUUAGGAGGUUUAGAGCGUUAAGCGUCGCCAAAAGCCGCUUUAGAAUACUGCGCAAACAAGACACAUCGUUAAUAACCAAAUCUAGACCAAAAAGCGAAGUGCUAGACCUCAUAAGCGUUGUUAAGUUAUCAAUGGGCUGUAAUUGAAAAAGCCCAAUAACUAACCCAAAAGCUCUGUUAAAAGAACUUUUUCUCGACCUAUUAAUUGUUAUUGACCUAACAAAUUAUCUCUUUACCUUGUGCUUUCUUCCAGACCAAAGCCUCUCGGGUUUCUCAAGCCCAAACAGAUCUGGACAUAGCGUUUUCUUCCUCGAGCUCGAAGGUAAUGUUUCCGACCUUGAUUUUAAUUUCGACUUAAAAUUGUUUGUUCUUCGCGCAAUUAUUUCGAAACAGAUCUGCAACUAAUCCGAACCCGUCAACAAUAUAUUUACUCAUGGAGGUUUUUGAAUAUUGUUUUAAUUAUAAGUUGAUAAAGGCCGACUCGGAUCUGUAAUAAUCUGGGCUCUAGUUCAUGUCUAAUCGAUUUCAGAAGUCCCAGAUCUGUUCUUGCCGGAUCUACGCUAAGAGUUUGGAAACACCGAUUUUACCCUCCCCCAAUAAUAUUGAUUAAACGCUGCGUUUUGUGUCUUUUUGUUUUUGUUCAUUCUCUGUAGCCAAGAUGGAGACAGCAAUGGAGGUAUACAAUGACGUUGAGAUGAGCACACCACCGAUCAAGCGACGCAAGAAGAAGUCAAAGGUGUGGGAACACUUCACCAUCGGUGUUACAGAGCCUGGUUGCAGAAGGGCUUUCUGCAAGGGCUGUAACCAGAGCUUUGCUUACAGCAGUGGCACCAAAGUGGCUGGGACCAGCCACCUCAAGCGUCACAUCGACAAAGGGACAUGCCCUGCGCUUCUUCAUCAUACCCAUGACAACAAUGACAACGAUAACAGCCAGCAGAUGAUGACGACUCCCAAGAGUGACCACACGCCGAGAAGGCGUUACCGGACCCAGAAC